Molecule: transfer RNA, 73 nt
Filed under: Traversia lyalli (Stephens Island wren)
Lineage: Eukaryota; Metazoa; Chordata; Aves; Passeriformes; Acanthisittidae
Description: tRNA-Glu
Source: RNAcentral
GUUCCUGUAGUUGAAAUUUAGACAACGGCGAGUUUUCAGGUCGCUGGUCUUGGGGUAGUGCCAAGUAGGAACU